AUGACCAUUGGGUUGCCCAGAACAUCCACUGGUGCUGCCAAGGCUGUGAGCAAGGUGAUUUCAGAGCUGAAUCAGAAGCUUAUUGGCAUGGCCUUCUAUGUUGCGCCUGAAAAAUCCCAGGUUUCGGCACCAGAUGAAACGAGAGCCCCCCAAAUCCCUUUUCACCCGCGAAUAAGGACAGGAGGCGGUAAUCGGGUGUACUGCGACGAGGACCCUUUACUACUCCACACGGUUGCCCAGACCUAUGUGGUGAUAGUCUCCUGUGCUGAGUCCAGUGGUAUUUCAGUAGAUCCAAUCAAGACUUUUCUCAAGUGGCCUUUCCUGACCCAUUUUCCUAGUGCAAACAUCAGGAGGCCAUUGAGGAUGGUGGCAGAUGGAGCGCGACCGAGGAGGUGGCUGGACAGCUGGAAAAUCAACGGAGAAAUGGACUGUCCCACAGACCUGGAAACGGCCGCCCCCAAAGGCCAAGACCGCUGGUCCCAGGAAGAUAUGCUAAAUUUGUUGGAAUGCAUGAAGAACAACCUUCCAUCCAACGACAGCUCCAAGUUCAAAACCACAGAGUCGCAUAUGGACUGGGAAAAAGUUGCAUUCAAGGAUUUUUUCAGGAGAUAUGUGCAAGCUCAAAUGGGUGGAGAUUUCUAAUGAGGUAAGGAAGUUCUGAACAUUGGCCGAAUUGAUCCUUGAUGCCCAGGAGCAUGUCAAAAACCCUUACAAAGGCAAAAAAAAAAAAAAAAAAAACCUCAAAGAAACACCCGGAUUUUCCAAAGAAGCCUCUCACCCCUUACUUCCGCUUCUUCAUGGAGAAACGGGCCAAGUAUGCGAACUCCACCCUGAGAUGAGCAACCUGGACCUGACUAAAAUCCUGUCUAAGAAAUACAAGGAACUUCCAGAGAAGAAGAAGAUGAAAUAUAUUCAGGACUUCCAGAGGGAGAAACAGGAGUUCGAGCGAAACCUGGCCCGAUUCAGGGAGGAUCACCCUGACCUUAUCCAGAAUGCCAAGAAGUCGGACAUCCCCGAGAAGCUCCAAACUCCCCAGCAACUGUGGUAUACCCAUGAGAAGAAGGUGUAUCUCAAAGUGCGGCCGGAUGAGAUUAUGCGUGAUUAUAUCCAGAAGCACCCCGAGCUAAACAUCAGUGAGGAAGGUAUUACCAAGUCCACCCUCAGCAAGGCUGAACGCCAGCUCAAGGAAAAGUUUGAUGGACAACCCACCAAGCCACCUCCGAACAGCUACUCCCUGUACUGUACAGAGCUCAUGGCCAACAUGAAGGAUGUGCCCAGCACAGAACGUAUGGUGCUAUGCAGCCAGCAGUGGAAGCUGCUCUCCCAGAAGGAAAAGGAUGCUUAUCACAAGAAGUAUGACCAGAAAAAGAAAGAUUAUGAGGUAGAGCUGCUGGGGUUCCUUGAGAGUUUGCCCGAGGAAGAGCAGCAGCAGGUCCUGGGGGAGGAGAAGAUGCUGAAUAUCAAUAAGAGGCAGACCACCAGUCCAGCCUCCAAGAAGCCUUCACAGGAAGGUGGCAAGGGUGGCUCCGAGAAGCCCAAGCGGCCUGUGUCUGCCAUGUUCAUCUUCUCAGAGGAGAAGAGAAGGCAGCUGCAGGAGGAACGACCGUCGAGCUCUCAGAAAGCGAGCUGACCCGUCUGCUGGCCCGCAUGUGGAACGACUUGUCCGAGAAGAAGGCUAAAUAUAAGGCCCGGGAGGCUACGCUAAAGGCGCAGUCUGAGAGGAAGCCAGGUGGGGAGCGUGAAGAUAGGGGCAAGCUGCCUGAGUCGCCCAAGAGAGCUGAGGAAAUCUGGCAGCAGUGUCAUUGGAGACUAUCUGGCCCGCUUCAAGAAUGACCGGGUGAAAGCCUUGAAAGCCAUGGAGAUGACUUGGAACAACAUGGAGAAGAAGGAGAAGCUAAUGUGGAUUAAGAAGGCAGCAGAAGACCAAAAUAAAUAAAUAAAUAAAUUAAGUGAGAUGCGGGCCCCUCCAGCUGCUACAAACUCUUCCAAGAUGAAGUUCCAGGGGGAGCCCAAGAAACCUCCUAUGAACGGUUACCAGAAGUUCUCCCAGGAGCUGCUGUCCAAUGGGAAGCUAAAUCACUUGCUGAAGGACCGCAUGGUAGAGAUUGGUAGCCGCUGGCAGCGCAUCUCCCAGAGCCAGAAGGAGCAUUAUAAGAAGCUGGCCGAGGAGCAGCAGAAGCAGUACAAGAUGCACUUGGACCUCUGGGUCAAGAGCCUGUCUCCUCAGGACCGAGCAGCGUACAAAGAAUACAUCUCCAAUAAACGUAAAAACAUGACUAAGCUUCGAGGCCCAAUUCCCAAGUCUAGCCGGACCACCCUGCAGUCUAAGUCAGAGUCCGAGGAGGACGACGACGAGGAAGAUGAGGAUGAUGAUGACGAGGAGGAGGAGGAAGACGACGACAAUGGCGACUUGUCUGAGGGUGGCGGGGACUCUUCCGAGUGGAGCAGUGAAGAUGAAAGCGAGGAUGAGGAUGAGAAUGAUGAUGAUGAUGACGACGACGACGAGGAUGAGGAUGAGGAUGAAGACAAUGAGUCUGAGGGCAGUAGCUCCAGCUCUUCAUCUUCAGGGGAUUCCUCAGAUUCUGACUCCAACUGAGGCUCAGCCUCCAUCCCAGGCAGGCAGGCA
Molecule: non-coding RNA, 2626 nt
Organism: Arvicanthis niloticus (Nile rat)
Lineage: Eukaryota; Metazoa; Chordata; Mammalia; Rodentia; Muridae
Source: RefSeq, a predicted model, not a curated record